This 408-nucleotide ribosomal RNA is filed under the name uncultured bacterium. Its description in RNAcentral is "bacterial SSU rRNA". It matches the Rfam family "Bacterial small subunit ribosomal RNA", at positions 356 to 776 of the family's 1533-position model. The record is from RNAcentral.
GGGGAAUAUUGCGCAAUGGGCGAAAGCCUGACGCAGCAACGCCGCGUGCGGGAUGAAGGCCUUCGGGUUGUAAACCGCUUUCAGCAGGGAAGAAGCGAAAGUGACGGUACCUGCAGAAGAAGCACCGGCUAACUACGUGCCAGCAGCCGCGGUAAUACGUAGGGUGCAAGCGUUGUCCGGAUUUAUUGGGCGUAAAGAGCUCGUAGGCGGUUAGUCGCGUCGGAUGUGAAAACCCAGUGCUUAACACUGGGCCUGCAUUCGAUACGGGCUGACUAGAGUGUUGUAGGGGAGACUGGAACUCCUGGUGUAGCGGUGAAAUGCGCAGAUAUCAGGAAGAACACCGGUGGCGAAGGCGGGUCUCUGGGCAACUACUGACGCUGAGGAGCGAAAGCGUGGGGAGCAAACAGG